GAGGGUAUAGCUCAGUAGUAGAGUGCAUGCCUAGCAUGUACAAGGUCCUGGGUUCAAUCCCCAGUACCUCCA
This 72-nucleotide transfer RNA is filed under the name Camelus bactrianus (Bactrian camel). It matches the Rfam family "tRNA". Rfam says of the family: Transfer RNA (tRNA) molecules are approximately 80 nucleotides in length. Their secondary structure includes four short double-helical elements and three loops (D, anti-codon, and T loops). Further hydrogen bonds mediate the characteristic L-shaped molecular structure. tRNAs have two regions of fundamental functional importance: the anti-codon, which is responsible for specific mRNA codon recognition, and the 3' end, to which the tRNAs corresponding amino acid is attached (by aminoacyl-tRNA synthetases). tRNAs cope with the degeneracy of the genetic code in two manners: having more than one tRNA (with a specific anti-codon) for a particular amino acid; and 'wobble' base-pairing, i.e. permitting non-standard base-pairing at the 3rd anti-codon position. The record is from Rfam by way of RNAcentral. RNAcentral also lists the same sequence under 2 other names. Lineage: Eukaryota; Metazoa; Chordata; Mammalia; Artiodactyla; Camelidae.